CCUACGGGUGGCAGCAGUCGAGAAUCAUUCACAAUGGGGGAAACCCUGAUGGUGCGACGCCGCGUGGGGGAAUGAAGGUCUUCGGAUUGUAAACCCCUGUCAUGUGGGAGCAAAUUAAAAAGAUAGUACCACAAGAGGAAGAGACGGCUAACUCUGUGCCAGCAGCCGCGGUAAUACAGAGGUCUCAAGCGUUGUUCGGAAUCACUGGGCGUAAAGGGUGCGUAGGCGGUUUCGUAAGUCGUGUGUGAAAGGCGCGGGCUCAACCCGCGGACGGCACAUGAUACUGCGAGACUAGAGUAAUGGAGGGGGAACCGGAAUUCUAGGUGUAGCAGUGAAAUGCGUAGAUAUCGAGAGGAACACUCGUGGCGAAGGCGGGUUCCUGGACAUUAACUGACGCUGAGGCACGAAGGCCAGGGGAGCGAAAGGGAUUAGAUACCCCUGUAGUC
RNAcentral lists this ribosomal RNA (446 nucleotides) under uncultured bacterium. Its description in RNAcentral is "partial 16S ribosomal RNA". It matches the Rfam family "Bacterial small subunit ribosomal RNA", at positions 338 to 795 of the family's 1533-position model. The record is from RNAcentral.